CUCCCGCCGAUGCCCAGAGACUGCGGCUGGGAGCCAGCCCGCCCCAGAUAAAGUUCAUGAAUCAUGUAGCAGCAGGGUUUCCGGGAUCAUGGAAAAUCACGACGCACGUCUGGCACCAGGCUUCCCCCUUAACGGCCCUGUUCCGGCACCAGCGACUGAGGUGGUUCUCCGGGUCCGCUGGGACCUUUGCCUGGGGGGAAACACACAGCCUCUCCCAGGUGUCCUCCCAGCGGGGAGCCGCCUCUCCCGUGUCACCCGAGGACCCCGGACCUCACGCCCCCCUGGGGACUCGCCCAUCCCACGGAGCGCCUCCAGGGUUCCAGCAGCCAUUUUGAACCAUGAGGCACUUUGACUACGAAAGCCUACAUUUUAAUGAAGAAAAGAAAAUGUAUGGAGUAUAGGCCUCCAUGGCCAUGAAGCCACACUACCAGUCCUGAUCUCUUACCUCCGGACUUUCAUGCACAAGAAAAAUAAACACCUAUCAUAUUUGA
This is a long non-coding RNA of Suricata suricatta (meerkat), 491 nucleotides long. RefSeq lists it as uncharacterized. The transcript is spliced from 2 exons. The record is from RefSeq and is a predicted model, not a curated record. NCBI's taxonomy places the organism in Eukaryota, Metazoa, Chordata, Mammalia, Carnivora, Herpestidae.